UUGAUCUCAAAUCAGGUAGGAUUACCCGCUGAACUUAAGCAUAUCAAUAAGCGGAGGAAAAGAAACUAACAAGGAUUCCCCUAGUAACUGCGAGUGAAGCGGGAAGAGCUCAAAUUUAAAAUCUGGCAGCCUUUGGUUGUCCGAGUUGUAGUCUGGAGAAGCGUUUUCCGUGUUGGACCGUGUAUAAGUCUCUUGGAACAGGGCGUCAUAGAGGGUGAGAAUCCCGUCUUUGACACGGACUACCAAUGCUUUGUGAUGCGCUCUCGAAGAGUCGAGUUGUUUGGGAAUGCAGCUCAAAAUGGGUGGUAAAUUCCAUCUAAAGCUAAAUAUAGGCGAGAGAC
Molecule: ribosomal RNA, 341 nt
Filed under: Tomentella larssoniana
Lineage: Eukaryota; Fungi; Basidiomycota; Agaricomycetes; Thelephorales; Thelephoraceae
Also listed under: 1 other name
Description: partial 28S ribosomal RNA
Rfam family: Eukaryotic large subunit ribosomal RNA
Source: RNAcentral